RNAcentral lists this transfer RNA (84 nucleotides) under Gemmatimonadota bacterium. Its description in RNAcentral is "Gemmatimonadetes bacterium (sponge metagenome) tRNA-Leu". It matches the Rfam family "tRNA". Rfam says of the family: Transfer RNA (tRNA) molecules are approximately 80 nucleotides in length. Their secondary structure includes four short double-helical elements and three loops (D, anti-codon, and T loops). Further hydrogen bonds mediate the characteristic L-shaped molecular structure. tRNAs have two regions of fundamental functional importance: the anti-codon, which is responsible for specific mRNA codon recognition, and the 3' end, to which the tRNAs corresponding amino acid is attached (by aminoacyl-tRNA synthetases). tRNAs cope with the degeneracy of the genetic code in two manners: having more than one tRNA (with a specific anti-codon) for a particular amino acid; and 'wobble' base-pairing, i.e. permitting non-standard base-pairing at the 3rd anti-codon position. The record is from RNAcentral. Lineage: Bacteria; Pseudomonadati; Gemmatimonadota.
GCUCGGGUGGCGGAAUCGGUAGACGCGCAGGAUUCAGGAUCCUGUGGGGGCAACCCCGUGAGGGUUCGAAUCCCUCCUCGAGCA